AAGGGUAACCGAAUCGCCAUAAUUACACCCUAUGUCGUCAUAUCUCAGAAGCUAAGUAGGUUUGAGCCUGGCGAGUUCUUGGAUGGGUGAACCCUCGGGGCUUGCCAGAUGUUGUA
RNAcentral lists this ribosomal RNA (116 nucleotides) under Petromyzon marinus (sea lamprey). The record is from RNAcentral. Lineage: Eukaryota; Metazoa; Chordata; Hyperoartia; Petromyzontiformes; Petromyzontidae.